UACGGGGGGAGCAAGCGUUGUUCGGAUUUACUGGGCGUAAAGUGUGCGCAGGCGGCAGAGCAAGUCGAGUGUGAAAGCCCCGAGCUUAACUUGGGAAUUGCGCUCGAAACUACUUUGCUGGAGUGUGGCAGAGGAAGGUGGAAUUCCACGUGUAGCGGUGAAAUGCGUAGAGAUGUGGAGGAACACCGAUGGCGAAGGCAGCCUUCUGGGCCAACACUGACGCUCAUGCACGAAAGCGUGGGGAGCAAACAGG
This 253-nucleotide ribosomal RNA is filed under the name uncultured bacterium. RNAcentral's name for it is "partial 16S ribosomal RNA". It matches the Rfam family "Bacterial small subunit ribosomal RNA", at positions 524 to 776 of the family's 1533-position model. The record is from RNAcentral.